AACGAACGCUGGCGGCAGGCCUAACACAUGCAAGUCGAACGCCCUAGCAAUAGGGAGUGGCAGACGGGUGAGUAACACGUGGGAACGUGCCCUUCGGUUCGGAAUAACUCAGGGAAACUUGAGCUAAUACCGGAUAAGUGCGAGAGCAGAAAGAUUUAUCGCCGAAGGAUCGGCCCGCGUCCGAUUAGCUAGUUGGUGAGGUACUGGCUCACCAAGGCGACGAUCGGUAGCUGGUCUGAGAGGAUGACCAGCCACACUGGGACUGAGACACGGCCAAGACGCCUACGGGAGGCAGCAGUGGGGAAUAUUGGACAAUGGGCGCAAGCCUGAUCCAGCCAUGCCGCGUGAGUGAUGAAGGCCCUCGGGUUGUAAAGCUCUUUCGCCAGGGACGAUAAUGACGGUACCUGGAUAAGAAGCCCCGGCUAACUUCGUGCCAGCCGCCGCCGUAA
This 449-nucleotide ribosomal RNA is filed under the name uncultured bacterium. RNAcentral describes it as "partial 16S ribosomal RNA". It matches the Rfam family "Bacterial small subunit ribosomal RNA", at positions 29 to 523 of the family's 1533-position model. The record is from RNAcentral.